RNAcentral lists this small RNA (30 nucleotides) under Bombyx mori (domestic silkworm). RNAcentral's name for it is "ovarian small RNA-18871". Lineage: Eukaryota; Metazoa; Arthropoda; Insecta; Lepidoptera; Bombycidae. The record is from RNAcentral.
UAACGGUUUUUUCUGUCAGAUGUGGCAAAU